CAGCAGAACCUCCUCUUUGAGGGCCAAGGUAACCUCCAGGUGUCUAAUAUCCACCUCUUUACGCUGCCUGCUUAGUUCACACCAUGUAUCACACUAUUGUGUACAGUGCACCGGAAUCCUCCGUCAGAGUACCAUCAUCCAUUGUGGCCAUCUAAUUGUCAACGCCGAAAGCCAGCAGGAGUUCUAAGUUCACUAUCUAGUCAUCAACCAUUAAACGAUUUUGAAGUUUGACUUUUAUUGAUACAUGUUUUCACAGAUUAAAAUUAAAAUAAAAACACUAGACCAAGAUAGAUGUCAAAAUUCUACACACAAAUAAUUUAAUGGCUGAGAACAACGCAAUGGUUACCCUGACGUUCGCGACACAACGUAAGGGAAACCGCUCCCACAACCAAGGCUUCUUUAACUUUAC
Molecule: long non-coding RNA, 409 nt
Filed under: Vigna radiata
Lineage: Eukaryota; Viridiplantae; Streptophyta; Magnoliopsida; Fabales; Fabaceae
Description: long non-coding RNA (VRAD_LNC009115)
Source: RNAcentral